GCACAAGCGGAGGAACAUGUGGUUUAAUUCGAUGAUACGCGAGGAACCUUACCCGGGCUUGAAUUGCAGUGGAAUAUAUUAGAAAUAGUAUAGCCGUAAGGCCGCUGUGAAGGUGCUGCAUGGUUGUCGUCAGCUCGUGCCGUGAGGCGUCGGCUUAAGUGCCAUAACGAGCGCAACCCUUAUCAUUAGUUACUAACAGGUGAUGCUGAGGACUCUAAUGAGACUGCCGUCGUAAGAUGCGAGGAAGGUGGGGAUGACGUCAAAUCAGCACGGCCCUUACGUCCGGGGCUACACACGUGUUACAAUGGGGGGUACAACAGGCAGCUACCGGGCGACCGGAUGCUAAUCCCAAAAACCUCUCUCAGUUCGGAUCGAAGUCUGCAACCCGACUUCGUGAAGCUGGAUUCGCUAGUAAUCGCGCAUCAGCCACGGCGCGGUGAAUACGCUCCCGGGCCUUGUACACACCGCCCGUCAAGCCAUGGGAGCCGGGGGCACCUGAAGUACGUAACCGCAAGGAGCGUCCUAGGGUGAAACUGGUGACUGGGGCUAAGUCGUAACAAGGUAGCC
RNAcentral lists this ribosomal RNA (567 nucleotides) under uncultured Bacteroidota bacterium. RNAcentral describes it as "bacterial SSU rRNA". It matches the Rfam family "Bacterial small subunit ribosomal RNA", at positions 923 to 1501 of the family's 1533-position model. Lineage: Bacteria; Pseudomonadati; Bacteroidota. The record is from RNAcentral.